RNAcentral lists this ribosomal RNA (429 nucleotides) under Chloroflexota bacterium. RNAcentral's name for it is "Chloroflexi bacterium partial 16S ribosomal RNA". It matches the Rfam family "Bacterial small subunit ribosomal RNA", at positions 355 to 776 of the family's 1533-position model. The record is from RNAcentral. Lineage: Bacteria; Bacillati; Chloroflexota.
UGGGGAAUAUUGCACAAUGGGCGCAAGCCUGAUGCAGCCAUGCCGCGUGUAUGAAGAAGGCCUUCGGGUUGUAAAGUACUUUCAGCGGGGAGGAAGGGAGUAAAGUUAAUACCUUUGCUCAUUGACGUUACCCGCAGAAGAAGCACCGGCUAACUCCGUGCCAGCAGCCGCGGUAAUACGGAGGGUGCAAGCGUUAAUCGGAAUUACUGGGCGUAAAGCGCACGCAGGCGGUUUGUUAAGUCAGAUGUGAAAUCCCCGGGCUCAACCUGGGAACUGCAUCUGAUACUGGCAAGCUUGUGUCUCGUAGAGGGGGGUAGAAUUCCAGGUGUAGCGGUGAAAUGCGUAGAGAUCUGGAGGAAUACCGGUGGCGAAGGCGGCCCCCUGGACGAAGACUGACGCUCAGGUGCGAAAGCGUGGGGAGCAAACAGG